Molecule: long non-coding RNA, 1364 nt
Organism: Talpa occidentalis (Iberian mole)
Lineage: Eukaryota; Metazoa; Chordata; Mammalia; Eulipotyphla; Talpidae
Exons: 6
Source: RefSeq, a predicted model, not a curated record
GAGCCCCGCCCGCCCGGGCUGACCUUCCCGGAUCGCGAGGAAGGGAGAGGGCUGUCGUCCCGGCCGUGCCCUGCCCUGCGGCUGAGACUUCAGGCCACAGCCCGCGGUGAAGAGUGUCGACGAUGGAAGCGAUUCGCAAAAACAACCGCAGGCAAACAAGACAUGGGAUUCCAAGAGCUGCAGUAGACCUGGAAGCAAGGAAAAGCCCUCCUGAACUACAAGAAGGCCAGCCUGUGACCUUGCACUAUCCCCAUCCCUGGCCCCGGAAUCAGGUUGGACAGCUCAGCUGCAGACCCUGCAGUUGGGGGUGAAGAGGCCGGGUAGGAACAGCUCGCUGGGACCCUUGCAAAGGAACGUGGCAUACUGCGGGCUGGGGAUCUACAGGAAAAAUGUAGUCAUGUUUCAAGAGACCAUAGAUAUCCAAGAGAUAGCAAGAGGACGUGGGAUCAAGUGUCUCACCAGCAGGGCGUACAGGUGUCUCACUGAGACAGAUCCUGGAUGCUGUGGGUGGCUCAGUACUACCUGGUGGAGCUGAACAACCUCUCGAAGGGCAGUCUGGAGGUGACCUGGACAAGCUCACACUGUCCCAAAGCUGUAAACUGCAGUGUGGGGACCCCUGGGAAUCUGCAUUUUGUGUGCACCACGUUUGAGAACUGCUUUCUUGUCCACCUUAUGUCUUUUAAGUUCGAGGAAACUGGAAACCACAGGAGAAGUAAAAUCGCAAUAAUGGCUCAACAGAGAGGCUUUUGGGACCUCGAAGAAGGCAAAACUCUAAGCGAAGAAGUGUGAGUCUCUGAAGGACUGGUAGAGUUCCUUUUGGCAUCCUGAUCACCACAUUCUAAUGGGGUGUGGGGGUGGUUCCCAACACACACAACAAGCCAUUCUUGGACACCAGCAGGGUAUCAGAACACAAUUCAGAUGCUAUCUACCUGGAGAAGGCAUCAGAUUCCACAGCUCAGAUUCCAAAUGUACACAGAGGUGAGAGGCCAUGUGAGGACAUAGCCAGCAGGCGGCCAUCUAGAAGACAAGAAGAGAGGGCCUCCCCGGUGGCACAGUGGUUGAGUGCUGGGUUGCGAGGCUGCCCACAGCCUCUGCAGCGCCAGUUCGGUCCCCAGUCCACCGGCAAGGGUCCCACAAAAAAAUAAAAAGAAAGAAGAAAAAAAGAGAGUCCUCACCAGGAACCCAACUGGCCAGCUCCUUCACCGUACACUUUCCAGGCUCCAGAACUGUGAGAAAAUAAAUUGUGUUGUUUUAGCUUCCCAAUCUGUGCUAUUUUGUUACUGCAACCCAAGCUCACUAAUACAGAAGGUUUGCGAUCUGCUUGGGUUUUCAUCAUUUGCACUCAGCUAAGUGAUGGACACACA